Molecule: non-coding RNA, 357 nt
Organism: Paramuricea clavata
Lineage: Eukaryota; Metazoa; Cnidaria; Anthozoa; Malacalcyonacea; Plexauridae
Source: the annotation of a GenBank genome assembly
GGGGAUUGUUCAAUAUGUCCACCACUAACUAAUUUGUGAUUUCCAACAACACAUUUCGCAACAAUCCAGUAUGAACAAUCUAAUUUGAAUUUUUCCCGCUACUCUGAGCGAAUAUUUUUGUAGCUACAGUCUCUCAGGUCAGCAGUAAAGGCCAUGGUAACAUAGCAACAGCUUUCGAGAGCUUUCGAACAACAACAAUGGCGGAAAGGUCAUGAAACGAAUACGAAAAUGGCAACUAUAUUUUGAAAUUUUGCCUAUCAUGGCCUCUAAAAUAGCAGUCUUAUGAUCCUCAAAAACAACGUAUUUCAAGACAUUAUGGAACCCACUAAACGGGAUUAAAAUAGCUUAAAAUCUAGC